UACGGGGGGUGCGAGCGUUGUCCGGAAUCACUGGGCGUAAAGGGCGCGUAGGUGGUUUGAUAAGGGUGUGGUGAAAGUCCGGGGCUCAACCCCGGAUCUGCCGUGCCGACUGUCAAACUCGAGGACUGUAGAGGCAGAUGGAAUUCCGGGUGUAGCGGUGGAAUGCGUAGAGAUCCGGAAGAACACCGGUGGCGAAGGCGGUCUGCUGGGGUAAUGCUGACACUGAUGCGCGACAGCGUGGGGAGCAAACAGGG
This 254-nucleotide ribosomal RNA is filed under the name uncultured bacterium. Its description in RNAcentral is "partial 16S ribosomal RNA". It matches the Rfam family "Bacterial small subunit ribosomal RNA", at positions 524 to 777 of the family's 1533-position model. The record is from RNAcentral.